Molecule: long non-coding RNA, 539 nt
Organism: Coregonus clupeaformis (lake whitefish)
Lineage: Eukaryota; Metazoa; Chordata; Actinopteri; Salmoniformes; Salmonidae
Exons: 2
Source: RefSeq, a predicted model, not a curated record
CCGUACUCAUGGUGACGGAUCACUAGCAAACAGAUGAAACAAGAAACAUGAUUGACUCUGUGGUGCUUCCUCCCCAGUCAACAGAGUUAGAUGAAUGUGUACUUCUUGGAGGACCCUGUGAAACAUAAGGUGUUGUGAAAACGCACAAGUCUAAAGCAGUUGAGGCUGCUGAGGGGAGGACGGCUCAUAAUAAUGGCUGGAACAAAGCAAAUGGAAUGUUGUGAAAACGCACAAGACUAAAGCCUUAUCAUUUAGCCCCCGAACGGCUAAGAAACAUUUAACUAAAUAAUAAUUACAGCCAUGUCAAAUUCAACUACAGGUGCAACUGAUAACUUAUAUUUUCCUAGUGGCAUCUCACUUUACUACACAUUCUGUCAAGAAUUGAAAUACAUACCCCUGAAAACACAGUUACAUUCUAGACCACACCCUCAAUUUACAAACAAGUGCAGGAGCACCACUUUUGGCCAUAAAAGGAAAUUCAAGAUUUGAAGUAAUACACAUUUAAUGAAAAACACAUUAAAAACAUGUUUUUAAACCAA